AUCCCUUGGGGAUUUUGUUAAAAUGCAGACUCUGAUUCAGUUGGUCAGGAGUGAGGCCUGAGAUUUUGCAUUUGUAAUAAGAUCUCAGGUGAUGCUGA
This 98-nucleotide microRNA precursor is filed under the name Pteropus alecto (black flying fox). RNAcentral describes it as "mir-544 microRNA precursor family". It matches the Rfam family "mir-544 microRNA precursor family". The record is from Rfam by way of RNAcentral. Lineage: Eukaryota; Metazoa; Chordata; Mammalia; Chiroptera; Pteropodidae.